UUGUCUCUAUACACCUGUUGCUUUGGCGGGCCCACCGGGGCCACCUGGUCGCCGGGGGACGCACGUCCCCGGGCCCGCGCCCGCCGAAGCGCUCUGUGAACCCUGAUGAAGAUGGGCUGUCUGAGUACUAUGAAAAUUGUCAAAACUUUCAACAAUGGAUCUCUUGGUUCCGGCAUCGAUGAAGAACGCAGCGAAAUGCGAUAAGUAAUGUGAAUUGCAGAAUUCCGUGAAUCAUCGAAUCUUUGAACGCACAUUGCGCCCCCUGGCAUUCCGGGGGGCAUGCCUGUCCGAGCGUCAUUUCUGCCCUCAAGCACGGCUUGUGUGUUGGGUGUGGUCCCCCCGGGGACCUGCCCGAAAGGCAGCGGCGACCUCCGUCUGGUCCUCGAGCGUAUGGGGCUCUGUCACUCGCUCGGGAGGGACCUGCGGGGGUUGGUCACCACCAUGUUUUUUUUACCACGGUUGACCUCGGAUCAGGUAGGAGUUACCCGCUGAACUUAAGCAUAUCAAUAAG
Molecule: ribosomal RNA, 511 nt
Filed under: Talaromyces verruculosus
Lineage: Eukaryota; Fungi; Ascomycota; Eurotiomycetes; Eurotiales; Trichocomaceae
Description: partial 18S ribosomal RNA
Rfam family: 5.8S ribosomal RNA (bases 144-297)
Source: RNAcentral